AUUGAACGCUGGCGGCAGGCCUAACACAUGCAAGUCGAGCGGUAGAGAGAAGCUUGCUUCUCUUGAGAGCGGCGGACGGGUGAGUAAUGCCUAGGAAUCUGCCUGGUAGUGGGGGAUAACGUUCGGAAACGAACGCUAAUACCGUAUACGUCCUACGGGAGAAAGCAGGGGACCUUCGGGCCUUGCGCUAUCAGAUGAGCCUAGGUCGGAUUAGCUAGUUGGUGAGGUAAUGGCUCACCAAGGCGACGAUCCGUAACUGGUCUGAGAGGAUGAUCAGCCACACUGGAACUGAGACACGGUCCAGACUCCUACGGAAGGCAGCAGUGGGGAAUAUUGGACAAUGGGCGAAAGCCUGAUCCAGCCAUGCCGCGUGUGUGAAGAAGGUCUUCGGAUUGUAAAGCACUUUAAGUUGGGAGGAAGGGCAGUUACCUAAUACGUGAUUGUUUUGACGUUACCGACAGAAUAAGCACCGGCUAACUCUGUGCCAGCA
Molecule: ribosomal RNA, 490 nt
Filed under: uncultured bacterium
Lineage: Bacteria
Description: bacterial SSU rRNA
Rfam family: Bacterial small subunit ribosomal RNA
Source: RNAcentral